GACGAACGCUGACGGCGUGCAUAACACAUGCAAGUCGAACGGAAAGGCACUGCUUUUGUAGGGUGCUCGAAUGGCGAACGGGUGAGUAACACGUGAGUAACCUGCCCUUGACUUUGGGAUAACUUCAGGAAACUGGGGCUAAUACCGGAUAGGAGCUCCUGCUGCAUGGUGGGGGUUGGAAAGUUUCGGCGGUUGGGGAUGGACUCGCGGCUUAUCAGCUUGUUGGUGGGGUAGUGGCUUACCAAGGCUUUGACGGGUAGCCGGCCUGAGAGGGUGACCGGCCACAUUGGGACUGAGAUACGGCCCAGACUCCUACGGGAGGCAGCAGUGGGGAAUAUUGCACAAUGGGCGGAAGCCUGAUGCAGCAACGCCGCGUGCGGGAUGACGGCCUUCGGGUUGUAAACCGCUUUCGCCUGUGACGAAGCGUGAGUGACGGUAAUGGGUAAAGAAGCACCGGCUAACUACGUG
RNAcentral lists this ribosomal RNA (468 nucleotides) under uncultured bacterium. RNAcentral's name for it is "partial 16S ribosomal RNA". It matches the Rfam family "Bacterial small subunit ribosomal RNA", at positions 28 to 507 of the family's 1533-position model. The record is from RNAcentral.